ACUGGCUGCCGGUCAGGAACGCGGACUCGGUCAACCCGGGAUCGACCAGGAAGCACCGGUAUUCGUCGGUGCCGCCGUUCGGCGCCGACGGCCGGUAC
Molecule: transfer RNA, 98 nt
Filed under: Plantactinospora mayteni
Lineage: Bacteria; Bacillati; Actinomycetota; Actinomycetes; Micromonosporales; Micromonosporaceae
Description: tRNA-Pro
Source: RNAcentral